Molecule: ribosomal RNA, 505 nt
Filed under: uncultured bacterium
Lineage: Bacteria
Description: partial 16S ribosomal RNA
Rfam family: Bacterial small subunit ribosomal RNA
Source: RNAcentral
GACGAACGCUGGCGGCGUGCCUAAUACAUGCAAGUAGAACGCACAGUUUAUACCGUAGCUUGCUACACCAUAGACUGUGAGUUGCGUACGAGUGAGUUACGCGUAGGUAACCUGCCUGGUAGCGGGGGAUAACUAUUGGUAACGCUAGCUAAUACCGCAUAAUACUGAUUAUUGCAUGAUAAUUGAUUGAAAGAUGCUAUUGACUCACUACCAGAUGGCCCUGCGUUGUAUUAGCUAGUAGGUGAGGUAACGGCGCACCUAGGCGACGAUACAUAGCCGACCUGAGAUGAGGGGCGGCCACACUGGGACGGAGACACGGCCCAGACGCAUACGGGAGCGAGCCGGAGUGAUACUGGGGCAAUGAGCGAAAGUCUUAGCGAGCAACGCCGCGGGAGGGAGGAAGGUUGUCGGGUCGUGGAGCUCGGUUGUAAGAGAGUAACGGGUGUGAGAGUGGAAAGUUCACACUGUGACGGUAACUUACCAGGAAGGAACGGCUAACUACGUG